Molecule: ribosomal RNA, 170 nt
Filed under: uncultured Clostridium sp.
Lineage: Bacteria; Bacillati; Bacillota; Clostridia; Eubacteriales; Clostridiaceae
Description: partial 16S ribosomal RNA
Rfam family: Bacterial small subunit ribosomal RNA
Source: RNAcentral
CCUACGGGAGGCAGCAGUGGGGAAUAUUGGACAAUGGGCGCAAGCCUGAUCUAGCCAUGCCGCGUGAGUGAUGAAGGCCCUAGGGUUGUAAAGCUCUUUCACCGGUGAAGAUAAUGACGGUAACCGGAGAAGAAGCCCCGGCUAACUUCGUGCCAGCAGCCGCGGUAAUA